UGGGGAAUAUUGCACAAUGGUGGGAACUCUGAUGCAGCGACGCCGCGUGAGUGAUGAAGGAAUUCGUUUCGUAAAACUCUGUUCUAUGGGAAGAAAAGGACUGUACCAUAGGAGAAAGCUCCGGCUAAAUACGUGCCAGCAGCCGCGGUAAUACGUAUGGAGCGAGCGUUGUUCGGAAUUAUUGGGCGUAAAGGGUGCGCAGGCGGCUUUACAAGUUGGAUGUGAAAUAUUGUGGCUCAACCACAAACGUGCAUCCAAAACUGCAAAGCUUGAGUUAAGGAGAAGUAAGUGGAAUUCCUGGUGUAGCGGUGGAAUGCGUAGAUAUCAGGAGGGAUACCGGUGGCGAAGGCGACUUACUGGACUUAAACUGACGCUCAGGCACGAAAGCGUGAGGAGCAAACAGG
This 404-nucleotide ribosomal RNA is filed under the name Fusobacteriota bacterium. RNAcentral's name for it is "Fusobacteria bacterium partial 16S ribosomal RNA". It matches the Rfam family "Bacterial small subunit ribosomal RNA", at positions 355 to 776 of the family's 1533-position model. Lineage: Bacteria; Fusobacteriati; Fusobacteriota. The record is from RNAcentral.